UACGAAGGGGGCUAGCGUUAUUCGGAAUUACUGGGCGUAAAGGGUGCGUAGGCGGUGCUCUAAGUAAGGUGUUAAAUGUAUGGGCUCAACCCAUAGCGUGCAUCUUAUACUGGAGUGCUUGAGUUUGGAAGAGGAAAGUAGAAUUUCUGGUGUAGAGGUAAAAUUCUUAGAUAUCAGAAGGAAUACCAAUGGCGAAGGCAACUUUCUGGUACAAUACUGACGCUGAGGCACGAAAGCGUGGGGAGCAAACAGG
RNAcentral lists this ribosomal RNA (253 nucleotides) under uncultured bacterium. Its description in RNAcentral is "partial 16S ribosomal RNA". It matches the Rfam family "Bacterial small subunit ribosomal RNA", at positions 524 to 776 of the family's 1533-position model. The record is from RNAcentral.